GUUUUACUAUAAUCAAAAUCUUUCUCUUGAAGCUUCGUAAGUCUCCUCAGCAAAUUAAUUUUCACCGAGAUGGCUUUCAGAAUUACCAGCCAAUUGCGACCGGUCGGAAACCAAAUUGGUGGCUCUCGUCGUUUCGCAACCACAGUCGCCGAUGGCGCCAAACAAACAUAUAACAAGUUCUCUGUAACAGGAGAUUUUGCACCAGUGGCUAUAAUAGGAGGUUUUGUUGGUUUAAC
Molecule: non-coding RNA, 236 nt
Organism: Camelina sativa (false flax)
Lineage: Eukaryota; Viridiplantae; Streptophyta; Magnoliopsida; Brassicales; Brassicaceae
Source: RefSeq, a predicted model, not a curated record